CUGCCGCCAGUUGAGCCAACUAUGCUCCUUUCUCCGGGGCCUGGCGUACAGUGACCGCAGACAGCAUCCUCCUUGGUAGUGUGUGCAGCCUGUUGCUUGGAUGGGUUGCCCUAAGGGACCUUGAGAUGGGC
This is a small nucleolar RNA of Cervus hanglu yarkandensis (Yarkand deer), 131 nucleotides long. Its record names the gene SNORA70. It matches the Rfam family "Small nucleolar RNA SNORA70". From Rfam's summary of the family: snoRNA U70 seems to be exclusive to mammals and is a member of the H/ACA class of snoRNA which contain H (ANANNA) and ACA box motifs. H/ACA box snoRNAs are involved in the conversion of uridines to pseudouridines (5-ribosyluracil) a constituent of structural RNAs (transfer, ribosomal, small nuclear, and small nucleolar). The record is from Ensembl. Lineage: Eukaryota; Metazoa; Chordata; Mammalia; Artiodactyla; Cervidae.